GAGGGAUCAUUACACAAAUAUGAAGGCGGGCUGGAACCUCUCGGGGUUACAGCCUUGCUGAAUUAUUCACCCUUGUCUUUUGCGUACUUCUUGUUUCCUUGGUGGGUUCGCCCACCACUAGGACAAACAUAAACCUUUUGUAAUUGCAAUCAGCGUCAGUAACAAAUUAAUAAUUACAACUUUCAACAACGGAUCUCUUGGUUCUGGCAUCGAUGAAGAACGCAGCGAAAUGCGAUAAGUAGUGUGAAUUGCAGAAUUCAGUGAAUCAUCGAAUCUUUGAACGCACAUUGCGCCCUUUGGUAUUCCAAAGGGCAUGCCUGUUCGAGCGUCAUUUGUACCCUCAAGCUUUGCUUGGUGUUGGGCGUCUUGUCUCUAGCUUUGCUGGAGACUCGCCUUAAAGUAAUUGGCAGCCGGCCUACUGGUUUCGGAGCGCAGCACAAGUCGCACUCUCUAUCAGCAAAGGUCUAGCAUCCAUUAAGCCUUUUUUUCAACUUUUGACCUCGGAUCAGGUAGGGAUACCCGCUGAACUUAAGCAUAUCAAUAAGCGGAGGAA
Molecule: ribosomal RNA, 553 nt
Filed under: uncultured organism
Also listed under: 1 other name
Description: eukaryotic LSU rRNA
Rfam family: 5.8S ribosomal RNA (bases 178-331)
Source: RNAcentral